GAUGAACGCUGGCGGCGUGCUUAACACAUGCAAGUCGAACGAUGAAGCCCAGCUUGCUGGGUGGAUUAGUGGCGAACGGGUGAGUAACACGUGAGUAACCUGCCCUUGACUCUGGGAUAAGCCUGGGCAACUGGGUCUAAUACUGGAUAUGACUUCUCAUCGCAUGGUGGGGGGUGGAAAGAUUUAUUGGUCUUGGAUGGACUCGCGGCCUAUCAGCUUGUUGGUGAGGUAAUGGCUCACCAAGGCGACGACGGGUAGCCGGCCUGAGAGGGUGACCGGCCACACUGGGACUGAGACACGGCCCAGACUCCUACGGGAGGCAGCAGUGGGGAAUAUUGCACAAUGGGCGCAAGCCUGAUGCAGCGACGCCGCGUGGGGGAUGACGGCCUUCGGGUUGUAAACCUCUUUCAGUAGGGAAGAAGCGAGAGUGACGGUACCUGCAGAAGAAGCGCCGGCUAACUACGUG
This 466-nucleotide ribosomal RNA is filed under the name uncultured bacterium. RNAcentral's name for it is "partial 16S ribosomal RNA". It matches the Rfam family "Bacterial small subunit ribosomal RNA", at positions 28 to 507 of the family's 1533-position model. The record is from RNAcentral.